This 611-nucleotide long non-coding RNA is filed under the name Monodelphis domestica (gray short-tailed opossum). RNAcentral's name for it is "lncRNA (ENSMODG00000029949.2)". The record is from RNAcentral. Lineage: Eukaryota; Metazoa; Chordata; Mammalia; Didelphimorphia; Didelphidae.
CUAAGACUGUAAUAUCCUUCUGCUUUCUGUAGCAAAGAAAGUUGCAACGGAUUGAUUGACAGCCCUCAAGCCAAGGAUUCUACAAGAGCUGGCUGGGUCAGAAUUCUAAGGGCUUAGAGAAAACAGUUUUUCAACUGACUCUCAGUCAGUCUGGAGCUGGAAUUCAAGCCUGAAAGUGUGAAUCUGGGACUCUUCCUGGACAAAUCCAUCUAUCAAGCUGCCUGCCUUAUAAUAACAUCAAGCAAAGGAAAUAAUGAAAAAAAUGUGAAGGAAGGAGGCCUUGCAGUCCCACAUCUCAAGCUAUACUAUAAAGCAGUGGUCAUCAAAACAAUAUGGUAUUGGCUAAGAGACAGAAAGGAGGAUCAGUGGAAUAGACUUGGGAUUCAAUCAGUACAGAGGAUGACUUGGAUUCAAUCUAUCCUAUAACUGAGGAUAUCUCUGAAGGUUUAUGGUCAAAGUCUUUCACAGAUGUAGUCCUAUUGAAAUCAGCUAUUCUGCAAAAGUUUUUGGUAGAGAUUCAUGGUAUCAUUGUUCACAUAUAAAAUUAGCACAUGGUAUUAAUGAAAAUGUACACAUUAUUGAGGAAGAAAAUGAAGAAGAGACUGUGGAAA